This 458-nucleotide ribosomal RNA is filed under the name uncultured bacterium. RNAcentral describes it as "partial 16S ribosomal RNA". It matches the Rfam family "Bacterial small subunit ribosomal RNA", at positions 29 to 507 of the family's 1533-position model. The record is from RNAcentral.
AACGAACGCUGGCGGCAUGCCUAACACAUGCAAGUCGAACGAGACCUUCGGGUCUAGUGGCGCACGGGUGCGUAACGCGUGGGAACCUGCCCUUAGGUUCGGAAUAACUCCCCGAAAGGGGUGCUAAUACCGGAUAAUGUCUUCGGACCAAAGAUUUAUCGCCUUUGGAUGGGCCCGCGUUGGAUUAGCUAGUUGGUAAGGUAAAAGCCUACCAAGGCGACGAUCCAUAGCUGGUCUGAGAGGAUGAUCAGCCACACUGGGACUGAGACACGGCCCAGACUACGACGAGAGGCAGCAGUAGGGAAUAGUCCGCAAUGGGCGAUAGCCUGAGGGAGAAACGGAGCGUGAGUGAUGAAGGUCUUCGGAUCGGAAAACUCUGUUAUUAGGGAAGAACAUAUGUGUAAGUAACUGUGCACAUCUUGACGGGACCUAAUCAGAAAGCCACGGCUAACUACGUG